GACGAACGCUGGCGGCGUGCUUAACACAUGCAAGUCGAACGGAAAGGCCCUGCUGUUGUGGGGUGCUCGAGUGGCGAACGGGUGAGUAACACGUGAGUAACCUGCCCUUGACUUUGGGAUAACUUCAGUAAACUGGGGCUAAUAACGGAUAGGAACUCCUGCUGCAUGGUGGGGGUUGGAAAGUUUAGGCGGUUGGGGAUGGACUCGCGGCUUAUGAGCUUGUUGGUGGGGUAGUGGCUUACCAAGGCAUUGGGGGGUAGCCGGCCUGAGAGGGGGACCGGCAACAUUGGGACUGAGAUACGGCCGAGAGUACUACGGGAGGCAGCAGUGGGGAAUAUUGCACAAUGGGCGGAAGCCUGAUGCAGCAACGCCGCGUGCGGGAUGACGGCCUUCGGGUUGUAAACCGCUUUCGCCUGUGACGAAGCGUGAGUGACGGUAAUGGGUAAAGAAGCACCGGCUAACUACGUG
RNAcentral lists this ribosomal RNA (468 nucleotides) under uncultured bacterium. RNAcentral describes it as "partial 16S ribosomal RNA". It matches the Rfam family "Bacterial small subunit ribosomal RNA", at positions 28 to 507 of the family's 1533-position model. The record is from RNAcentral.